RNAcentral lists this ribosomal RNA (722 nucleotides) under uncultured bacterium. RNAcentral's name for it is "bacterial SSU rRNA". It matches the Rfam family "Bacterial small subunit ribosomal RNA", at positions 28 to 776 of the family's 1533-position model. The record is from RNAcentral.
AACGAACGCUGGCGGCAGGCUUAACACAUGCAAGUUGAACGGGAAUUGUAUAGUGCUUGCACUAUAUGAUGAGAGUGGCGCACGGGUGAGUAAUACAUGGGAACAUACCCUGAAGUUCGGAACAACAGUUGGAAACGACUGCUAAUACCGGAUAAUGCCUGAGGGAGAAAGAUUUAUCGCUUUAGGAAUGGCCCAUGGCAGAUUAGGUAGUUGGUGGGGUAAAGGCUUACCAAGCCGACGAUCUGUAGCUGGUCUGAGAGGACGAUCAGCCACACUGGAACUGAGACACGGUCCAGACUCCUACGGGAGGCCGCAGUGGGGAAUAUUGCACAAUGGGGGAAACCCUGAUGCAGCGACGCCGCGUGAGCGAAGAAGUAUUUCGGUAUGUAAAGCUCUAUCAGCAGGGAAGAAGAAAUGACGGUACCUGACUAAGAAGCACCGGCUAAAUACGUGCCAGCAGCCGCGGUAAUACGUAUGGUGCAAGCGUUAUCCGGAUUUACUGGGUGUAAAGGGAGCGCAGGCGGAAGGCUAAGUCUGAUGUGAAAGCCCGGGGCUCAACCCCGGUACUGCAUUGGAAACUGGUCAUCUAGAGUGUCGGAGGGGUAAGUGGAAUUCCUAGUGUAGCGGUGAAAUGCGUAGAUAUUAGGAGGAACACCAGUGGCGAAGGCGGCUUACUGGACGAUAACUGACGCUGAGGCUCGAAAGCGUGNGGAGCACACAGG